CCGUUGCUUAAUUGACAAAUAAAAUCCCUGAAUUUUUGCUCAUACAAUCGAUUGUCUGACCAACACAAUCGAUUGUUUGUGGACCGUUCAAAAAACAGACUCCUGAUUUUAAGGGAAACAAUCAAUUGUAAAACCUGUAUAAUUGAUUGUUCUUCAACGUUCAAAAAUCAAUUUAAGAUUUUGUGGGAAUGGUCUGAAUAUAAUCGAUUGUAUAAAAACCAUAAUCGAUUAUUCUGAUUAUAAUCUAUUGUUAAAAACAUAUAGUCGAUUAUUUAGCUGAUUGAAAAAUUCAGUUUAAGUACUGUCUCAAUACAAUCGAUUGUUAGAAGUAUAUAAUCGAUUGUUUNNN
Molecule: long non-coding RNA, 349 nt
Filed under: Nicotiana benthamiana
Lineage: Eukaryota; Viridiplantae; Streptophyta; Magnoliopsida; Solanales; Solanaceae
Description: long non-coding RNA (NBEN_LNC019136)
Source: RNAcentral